This 1460-nucleotide long non-coding RNA is filed under the name Salmo salar (Atlantic salmon). Its description in RNAcentral is "lncRNA (ENSSSAG00000118139.1)". The record is from RNAcentral. Lineage: Eukaryota; Metazoa; Chordata; Actinopteri; Salmoniformes; Salmonidae.
GUAGGGAAGGGCAAGGCUGGACCGUCAAAGAAGAGAUUGGUUGACAUUUGUCUUCUUGUUCUGCUACCACAUAGUGGUCAUCUGUUUUGACGCUGUAGAGUUCACAUUUUCUACAGUUUAACUGCACCCACAUAUGUCUGGUAAAGGCCUAUGUACUGUACUAGUCCGUAGUUCCAUGUUUGUGAUCUUAAACGUAUUUACGUUCUUCUUGUGCAGAAGCCUGGGAGUGUGGUGUCUAUUUCUGUCUGUGUGACCAGGGCAAGUGUGUUAUACAAAUGAUAUGCCCUUCAUGCUCUUUUCAAUAUAGUUGAACACGUGGCGUCACUUGCAUGAAGGGAUAGUAAACUCAUCAAUGGGAACAAGCUUUGAUCCUGUUCCCAUUACUGCAAAAUAACCACUGGGGUAUGUUCAGGAUCAGCGAAUGGUUUCAAACAGUUCAAAACCAGAAAAUAUGUUCAAUUGAGCAUAAGUUGAAAUAUAGCCCAUGUUUGUACAAUCACCUAUUCUCCUUUUCUAGUUAUCAGAAAAAUCCCUACGGGAAGGUUAUUAAAAAAAUUAUAUUUGCAGGUUGUUUUCUAACCUAUGCAUUAUCUUAACUUCUUAAACCCUUUGCACAGUCUUUCAUAGUGACACUUGAAGUUUCCCAAAUGGAGGACAGAAAUCCAAUAGAUUAUUCAUAGAUUUACCUGAAUUGUACUGAAACUAGAGUUUCCUUUGAGAAAUUAAAUUUAAAAAGCCCAUUUGGCUAUUAUUGCCACUGUAUCACUUUUAAUUGAUGCACUAUUUAUUAAUGCAUGGAUGUUUACUACUAUAGGAAGAAUUGAGUGUGGAUAUGACGGCUUGCCUUUCCACAACAGGAAGUGUAAAUACAUGGCUCUUGCCUUUAUAUGACUUGAUAUGCUAAUGAUAUUAAAAUAUGAUGUAUUGAAUGUUUUAUGUAUUCAAAUGUUUUCUGGUUUCAUAAAAUGUCGACACUGCUAUUGGUCACUAGAUAAUACAUAUCACUGUGAAAAUAUAUUCCAGUUUGGCAUCUUUAGAUGGUUACAUUACAGCACAAACCACUCUAUAAAGCAGGGUUAUCCUGCUUGAAGGCAACCAAUAAAACAAGCUCCUUGAUGGUGUUUGGUUGCAGAUGAUGUUAGGACCAUGGAUAUUGGCUUAAUUAAUUAAGUUAGCUAAGAGCCUGCCUAGAAUCAGGGUUUCCUUACCCACUUGUUUCCUGGACACAGAUUAAGCCUAAUCCUGGAUUGGGAAACAUGUUCAAUCGAUAUUCUCUUUUUAUUUCAGAACUAGGCUUCAUCUGUGUGUGGGAAACUAUCCCUCAAUCUCUUCCUCAGGUACAUAGGAAGACAUUCCUUCUCUUAUUCCAGGGUCACAGUCCCAUCUCUAUGAAUCAGACUGUUCAUUGUGAUUGUUUGUGAUGUUAUUUAUUCAUUAAACUGUUUUUUCGUUUAAGUAAA